RNAcentral lists this ribosomal RNA (478 nucleotides) under Gemella morbillorum. Its description in RNAcentral is "bacterial SSU rRNA". It matches the Rfam family "Bacterial small subunit ribosomal RNA", at positions 28 to 492 of the family's 1533-position model. The record is from RNAcentral. Lineage: Bacteria; Bacillati; Bacillota; Bacilli; Caryophanales; Gemellaceae.
GACGAACGCGGCGGCGUGCCUAAUACAUGCAAGUCGAGCGAAGUUUUUUGGUGCUUGCACUAGAAAAACUUAGCGGCGAACGGGUGAGUAACACGUAAAGAACCUGCCUCAUAGACUGGGACAACUAUUGGAAACGAUAGCUAAUACCGGAUAACAGUAUUUCUCGCAUGAGAGAUAUUUAAAAGUUGGUUAUGCUAACACUAUGAGAUGGCUUUGCGGUGCAUUAGCUAGUUGGUGGGGUAAAGGCCCACCAAGGCGACGAUGCAUAGCCGACCUGAGAGGGUGAUCGGCCACACUGGGACUGAGACACGGCCCAGACUCCUACGGGAGGCAGCAGUAGGGAAUCUUCCGCAAUGGGCGAAAGCCUGACGGAGCAACGCCGCGUGAGUGAAGAAGGAUUUCGGUUCGUAAAGCUCUGUUGUUAGGGAAGAAUGGAUAUGUAGUAACUAUACAUUAAGAGACGUACCUACCAGAAGCC